AUACGUAGGUGGCAAGCGUUGUCCGGAAUUACUGGGCGUAAAGGAUGCGUAGGCGGAUAUGUAAGUCAGAUGUGAAAUACCCGGGCUCAACUUGGGUGCUGCAUUUGAAACUGCAUGUCUAGAGUGCGGGAGAGGAAAGUGGAAUUCCUAGUGUAGCGGUGAAAUGCGUAGAGAUUAGGAAGAACACCAGUGGCGAAGGCGGCUUUCUGGACCGUAACUGGCGCUGAGGCAUGAAAGCGUGGGUAGC
RNAcentral lists this ribosomal RNA (247 nucleotides) under uncultured bacterium. RNAcentral describes it as "partial 16S ribosomal RNA". It matches the Rfam family "Bacterial small subunit ribosomal RNA", at positions 523 to 769 of the family's 1533-position model. The record is from RNAcentral.